Brachypodium distachyon (stiff brome) is the source of this 91-nucleotide non-coding RNA. The record is from Rfam. NCBI's taxonomy places the organism in Eukaryota, Viridiplantae, Streptophyta, Magnoliopsida, Poales, Poaceae.
CAUUGGCUGGAGUGAUGAAUCAAUUAGAUGCGCGAAGUCACCUUAUGAGCUUAACCAUUUGAGGCAUAUUUAUUGGUCUGACCAGCCAAUG